Molecule: ribosomal RNA, 250 nt
Filed under: uncultured prokaryote
Description: partial 16S ribosomal RNA
Rfam family: Bacterial small subunit ribosomal RNA
Source: RNAcentral
UACGGAAGAUGCGAGCGUUAUCCGGAUUUAUUGGGUUUAAAGGGAGCGUAGGCGGCCUUUUAAGUCAGCGGUUAAAUGUCAGCGCCCAACGUUGGCAUGCCGUUGAUAUUGGAUGGCUUGAAUACACACAAGGAAGGUGGAAUUCGUCGUGUAGCGGUGAAAUGCCUAGAUAUGACGAAGAACACCGAUUGCGAAGGCAGCCUUCUGGGGUGCGAUUGACGCUGAGGCUCGAAAGUGCGGGUAUCAAACA